AUGCCAGAAGAAUGGAGACGGAGUAUAUUAGUACCAAUCUUCAAGAACAAGGGGGAUGUUCAGAGUUGUACUAAUUACCGUGGAAUUAAGCUGAUGAGCCAUACAAUGAAGCUAUGGGAGAGAGUCAUUGAGCACCGCUUAAGAAGAAUGACAAGCGUGACCAAAAAUCAAUUUGGUUUCAUGCCUGGGAGGUCGACCAUGGAAGCCAUUUUCUUGGUACGACAACUUAUGGAGAGAUAUAGGGAGCAUAAGAAGGACUUGCAUAUGGUGUUCAUUGACUUGGAGAAGGCCUAUGAUAAGAUACCACGGAAUGUCAUGUGGUGGGCCUUGGAGAAACACAAAGUCCCAGCAAAGUACAUUACCCUCAUCAAGGACAUGUACAAUAAUGUUGUGACAAGUGUUCGAACAAGUGAUGUCGACACCGAUGACUUCCCGAUUAAGAUAGGACUGCAUCAGGGGUCAGCUUUGAGCCCUUAUCUUUUUGCUUUGGUGAUGGAUGAGGUCACAAGGGGUAUACAAGGAGAUAUCCCAUGGUGUAUGCUCUUUGCGGAUGAUGUGGUGCUAGUUGACGAUAGUCGGACGGGGGUAAAUAGGAAGUUAGAGUUAUGGAGACAAACCUUGGAAUCGAAAGGGUUUAGGCUUAGUAGAACUAAAACCGAGUACAUGAUGUGCGGUUUCAGUACUACUAGCUGUGAGGAGGAGGAGGUUAGCCUUGAUGGCCAUGUGGUACCUCGGAAGGACACCUUUCGGUAUUUGGGGUCAAUGUUGCAGGAGGAUGGGGGUAUUGAUGAAGAUGUGAACCAUCGAAUCAAAGCCGGAUGGAUGAAGUGGCGCCAAGCUUCUGGCAUUCUCUGUGACAAGAGAGUGCCACAAAAGCUAAAAGGCAAGUUCUACAGGACGGCGGUUCGACCCGCAAUGUUGUAUGGCGCGGAGUGUUGGCCGACUAAAAGGCGACAUGUUCAACAGUUAGGUGUGGCGGAGAUGCGUAUGUUGAGAUGGAUGUGUGGCCACACGAGGAAGGAUCGAGUCCGGAAUGAUGAUAUACGAGAUAGAGUUGGGGUAGCACCAAUUGAGGAGAAGCUUGUCCAACAUCGUUUGAGAUGGUUUGGGCAUAUUCAGCGCAGGCCUCCAGAAGCUCCAGUGCAUAGCGGACGGCUAAAGCAUGCGGAGAAUGUCAAGAGAGGGCGGGGUCGACCGAUUUUGACAUGGGAGGAGUCCGUUAAGAGAGACCUGAAGGAUUGGAGUAUCGACAAAGAGCUAGCUAUGGACAGGGGUGCGUGGAAGCUUGCUAUCCAUGUGCCAGAGCCAUGA
RNAcentral lists this ribosomal RNA (1311 nucleotides) under Triticum aestivum (bread wheat). RNAcentral's name for it is "partial small subunit ribosomal RNA". Lineage: Eukaryota; Viridiplantae; Streptophyta; Magnoliopsida; Poales; Poaceae. The record is from RNAcentral.